Molecule: ribosomal RNA, 429 nt
Filed under: Fusobacteriota bacterium
Lineage: Bacteria; Fusobacteriati; Fusobacteriota
Description: Fusobacteria bacterium partial 16S ribosomal RNA
Rfam family: Bacterial small subunit ribosomal RNA
Source: RNAcentral
UGGGGAAUAUUGCGCAAUGGGCGAAAGCCUGACGCAGCGACGCCGCGUGAGGGAUGAAGGUUUUCGGAUCGUAAACCUCUGUCAGAAGGGAAGAAACCGCACUGUGCUAAUCAGCAGUGCCUUGAUGGUACCUUCAAAGGAAGCACCGGCUAACUCCGUGCCAGCAGCCGCGGUAAUACGGAGGGUGCAAGCGUUAAUCGGAAUUACUGGGCGUAAAGCGCACGUAGGCUGCUUUGUAAGUCAGGGGUGAAAUCCCACGGCUCAACCGUGGAACUGCCUUUGAUACUGCUUAGCUUGAAUCCGGGAGAGGGUGGCGGAAUUCCAGGUGUAGGAGUGAAAUCCGUAGAUAUCUGGAGGAACAUCAGUGGCGAAGGCGGCCACCUGGACCGGUAUUGACGCUGAGGUGCGAAAGCGUGGGGAGCAAACAGG